UACGAAGGGGGCUAGCGUUGCUCGGAAUCACUGGGCGUAAAGCGCACGUAGGCGGGUCGUUAAGUCAGGGGUGAAAUCCUGGAGCUCAACUCCAGAACUGCCUUUGAUACUGAAGAUCUUGAGUCCGGGAGAGGUGAGUGGAACUGCGAGUGUAGAGGUGAAAUUCGUAGAUAUUCGCAAGAACACCAGUGGCGAAGGCGGCUCACUGGCCCGGUACUGACGCUGAGGCACGAAAGCGUGGGGAGCAAACAGG
This 253-nucleotide ribosomal RNA is filed under the name uncultured bacterium. RNAcentral's name for it is "partial 16S ribosomal RNA". It matches the Rfam family "Bacterial small subunit ribosomal RNA", at positions 524 to 776 of the family's 1533-position model. The record is from RNAcentral.